GGAUGUGAGGGCCAUCUGUGACAUCAGUCACCUCAUUGACUGCCAGGUUUGAUCUGGUUGACUGAUCUAGUUGGCUAGAUAGUGUUUCUUUCCUCUCCCUUCCUGAACAUUCGUGUACAUCCCCUUCCCUGGAAGCUGUGAGAUCAGUCAGAGAAAAUCUUCUCCAAUAUAAGAGGCUUAUUUCUUGGUCGAGGGCAUGUAAGUGAGUGUGUGUGUUCCCCUACUAGAGCACUAAGAGACCCCUCUACUCUCAAGCUCUCAAGAAGUAUUGGGGUGACUCAGUGAGUUGUAGGAAAUAGUAAGAGGGUGUCCCUUCCUCC
RNAcentral lists this small nuclear RNA (320 nucleotides) under Neogale vison (American mink). RNAcentral describes it as "Neovison vison (American mink) 7SK RNA (ENSNVIG00000005226.1)". It matches the Rfam family "7SK RNA". Rfam says of the family: 7SK was discovered as an abundant small nuclear RNA in the mid-70s but a possible function has only recently been suggested. Lineage: Eukaryota; Metazoa; Chordata; Mammalia; Carnivora; Mustelidae. The record is from Rfam by way of RNAcentral.